GGGCCGUUAGCUCAGCGGUAGAGCAGUGGACUUUUAAUCCAUUGGUCGAUGGUUCGAUCCCAUCACGGCCCACCA
This 75-nucleotide transfer RNA is filed under the name Dokdonella soli. RNAcentral describes it as "tRNA-Lys". It matches the Rfam family "tRNA". Rfam says of the family: Transfer RNA (tRNA) molecules are approximately 80 nucleotides in length. Their secondary structure includes four short double-helical elements and three loops (D, anti-codon, and T loops). Further hydrogen bonds mediate the characteristic L-shaped molecular structure. tRNAs have two regions of fundamental functional importance: the anti-codon, which is responsible for specific mRNA codon recognition, and the 3' end, to which the tRNAs corresponding amino acid is attached (by aminoacyl-tRNA synthetases). tRNAs cope with the degeneracy of the genetic code in two manners: having more than one tRNA (with a specific anti-codon) for a particular amino acid; and 'wobble' base-pairing, i.e. permitting non-standard base-pairing at the 3rd anti-codon position. RNAcentral also lists the same sequence under 16 other names. Lineage: Bacteria; Pseudomonadati; Pseudomonadota; Gammaproteobacteria; Lysobacterales; Rhodanobacteraceae. The record is from RNAcentral.